UACGUAGGGAGCAAGCGUUGUCCGGAAUCAUUGGGCGUAAAGCGCGCGUAGGUGGCUUCGUAAGUCCGUUGUGAAAGUCAAAGGCUCAACCUUUGAAAGCCGAUGGAUACUGUGAAGCUAGAGUACGGAAGAGGCGAGUGGAAUUCCUGGUGUAGCGGUGGAAUGCGCAGAUAUCGUAAGGAAGACCAGUGGCGAAGGCGGGUCUCUGGGCCGAUACUGACGCUGAGGAGCGAAAGCGUGGGGAGCGAACAGG
RNAcentral lists this ribosomal RNA (253 nucleotides) under uncultured bacterium. Its description in RNAcentral is "partial 16S ribosomal RNA". It matches the Rfam family "Bacterial small subunit ribosomal RNA", at positions 524 to 776 of the family's 1533-position model. The record is from RNAcentral.